AUUGAACGCUGGCGGCAGGCCUAACACAUGCAAGUCGAGCGAGCGGCGGACGGGUGAGUAAUGUAUGGGGACUGCCCGAUAGAGGGGGAUAACUACUGGAAACGGUGGCUAAUACCGCAUACUGCAGGAUACCCCAUAGGGGAUUAGCUAGUAGGUCAGGGAAUGGCUUACCCAGGCGACCAUCCCUAGCUGGUCUGAGAGGAUGUUCAGCCACACUGGAACUGAGACAAGGCCCAGACUCCUACGGAGGCAGCAGUGGGGAAUAUUGCACAAUGGGCGCAAGCCUGAUGCAGCCAUGCCGCGUGUAUGAAGAAGGCCCUAGGGUUGUAAAGUACUUUCAGUCGGGAGGCGUUACCGACAGAAGAAGCACCGGCUAACUCCGUGCCAGCAGCCGCGGUAAUAC
RNAcentral lists this ribosomal RNA (403 nucleotides) under uncultured bacterium. RNAcentral describes it as "partial 16S ribosomal RNA". It matches the Rfam family "Bacterial small subunit ribosomal RNA", at positions 30 to 526 of the family's 1533-position model. The record is from RNAcentral.